This 448-nucleotide ribosomal RNA is filed under the name uncultured bacterium. RNAcentral's name for it is "partial 16S ribosomal RNA". It matches the Rfam family "Bacterial small subunit ribosomal RNA", at positions 330 to 794 of the family's 1533-position model. The record is from RNAcentral.
UCCAGACUCCUACGGGAGGCAGCAGUGGGGGAUAUUGCACAAUGGGGGGAACCCUGAUGCAGCGACGCCGCGUGGGUGAAGGAGCGUUUCGGCGCGUAAAGCCCUAUCGGCAGGGAAGAAGGAGGACGGUACCUGACUAAGAAGCCCCGGCUAACUACGUGCCAGCAGCCGCGGUAAUACGUAGGGGGCAAGCGUUAUCCGGAGUUACUGGGUGUAAAGGGGGCGCAGACGGCAGCGCAAGCCAGGAGUGAAAGCCCGGGGCCCAACCCCGGGACUGCUCUUGGAACUGCGCGGCUGGAGUGCAGGAGGGGCAGGCGGAAUUCCUGGUGUAGCGGUGAAAUGCGUAGAUAUCAGGAGGAACACCGGUGGCGAAGGCGGCCUGCUGGACUGCGACUGACGUUGAGGCCCGAAAGCGUGGGGAGCAAACAGGAUUAGAUACCCGUGUAGC